Balaenoptera ricei (Rice's whale) is the source of this 265-nucleotide long non-coding RNA. RefSeq lists it as uncharacterized. Lineage: Eukaryota; Metazoa; Chordata; Mammalia; Artiodactyla; Balaenopteridae. The record is from RefSeq and is a predicted model, not a curated record. The transcript has 3 exons.
GUGCCCGACUUUCCUCCCGCUGCGCGCGGGGCACGCUGGGACUUGUAGUUCUUUGAGCGCGCCAAGCGGGCCAGUUAAGCUGAGAGAGUUGCUGAGAAGUUGGGUUGUGGAGAGCAAAAGAGAAAAGAGUGCCAUGGGGAUAAUUGAAAAGAAAAAGAAGCAAUGAAGAAGGAAGGAGUUAAGUGGAGCCGCAGCAUCGUGCAGCAGCUUGUUGGUCCCAUGAGAGUGGUCUCCCCAUUUACAGGUAUCAUCUCCAGAUUCAAUA